CCAGGGUGCUCAUUUAAAAGGCACAUUCUCAGGCCCUGUCCCAGAACUACUGAAUCAGAAUCUCUGGGCAUGGGGUCUAGGAAUCUGCAUUUUUACGCUGAACACUCACCCC
RNAcentral lists this microRNA precursor (112 nucleotides) under Vicugna pacos (alpaca). Its description in RNAcentral is "miRNA (ENSVPAG00000016550.1)". Lineage: Eukaryota; Metazoa; Chordata; Mammalia; Artiodactyla; Camelidae. The record is from RNAcentral.